RNAcentral lists this transfer RNA (87 nucleotides) under Metaclostridioides mangenotii. RNAcentral's name for it is "tRNA-Leu". It matches the Rfam family "tRNA". From Rfam's summary of the family: Transfer RNA (tRNA) molecules are approximately 80 nucleotides in length. Their secondary structure includes four short double-helical elements and three loops (D, anti-codon, and T loops). Further hydrogen bonds mediate the characteristic L-shaped molecular structure. tRNAs have two regions of fundamental functional importance: the anti-codon, which is responsible for specific mRNA codon recognition, and the 3' end, to which the tRNAs corresponding amino acid is attached (by aminoacyl-tRNA synthetases). tRNAs cope with the degeneracy of the genetic code in two manners: having more than one tRNA (with a specific anti-codon) for a particular amino acid; and 'wobble' base-pairing, i.e. permitting non-standard base-pairing at the 3rd anti-codon position. The record is from RNAcentral. Lineage: Bacteria; Bacillati; Bacillota; Clostridia; Peptostreptococcales; Peptostreptococcaceae.
GCCGCUGUGAUGGAAUAGGCAGACGUAGUGGAUUCAAAAUCCACCGGUAGUGAUACCGUGCCGGUUCGAAUCCGGCCAGCGGCACCA